UACGUGAGGGGCGAACGUUGUUCGGUGUCACUGGGCUUAAAGGGUGCGUAGGUGGUUGCGUAAGUAACGUGUGAAAUCCCUCGGCUUACCCGGGGAAUUGCACGUUAUACUGCGUGACUUGAGGACUAAAGGGGAAAAGGGAACUCCAGGUGUAGCGGUGAAAUGCGCAGAUAUCUGGGGGAAGGCCGGCGGCGAAGGCGCUUUUCUGGUUAGUACCUGACACUGAGGCACGAAAGCGUGGGGAGCAAACAGG
RNAcentral lists this ribosomal RNA (253 nucleotides) under uncultured bacterium. RNAcentral's name for it is "partial 16S ribosomal RNA". It matches the Rfam family "Bacterial small subunit ribosomal RNA", at positions 524 to 776 of the family's 1533-position model. The record is from RNAcentral.